CCUACGGGAGGCUGCAGUGGGGAAUAUUGGGCAAUGGAGGCAACUCUGACCCAGCAACGCCGCGUGAAUGAUGAAGGUCUUCGGAUUGUAACGUUCUUUUCUAAGGGAAGAAGAAAGUGACGGUACCUUAGGAAUAAGCCUCGGCUAACUACGUGCCAGCAGCCGCGGUAAUACGUAGGAGGCAAGCGUUAUCCGGAAGGACUGGGCGUAAAGGGGGCGUAGGUGGGUAGACAAGUUAGUAGAGCGACUCCGGAGCUCAACGUCGGAACUACUACUAAAAAUGUUGGACUUGAGUGCAGGAGGGGCAAUCGGAAUUCCUGGUGUAGCGGUGGAAUGCGUAGAUAUUAGGAGGAACACCAGUGGCGAAGGCGGAUUGCUAGACAGUAACUGACACUGAGGCACGAAAGCGUGGGGAGCAAACAGGAUUAGAUACCCUUGUAGUC
RNAcentral lists this ribosomal RNA (443 nucleotides) under uncultured bacterium. Its description in RNAcentral is "partial 16S ribosomal RNA". It matches the Rfam family "Bacterial small subunit ribosomal RNA", at positions 338 to 795 of the family's 1533-position model. The record is from RNAcentral.